UUUUCUGAAACCUACAUCACAUCCGACCGCAUCUCACGAUAUCUGAAUAACUUUAAAAAAUAAUUAAUUUAUGAUGUUUACUACAGUUGUACCAGUUUGCUCCUAAUUAUCUCAUAUUUGCCAAGAAUGUAUCUAAUCUGUACUAGAAAAUGGAUGACUAAAUUUUUUUAUGUUUAAUAUUACUUGGCAGGCUAUAAUUUCAGAUCAAUUAAUUCAUUUUUCUUAUUUAUUAAUUAUUCAGAAAUCGUGAGAUGCGGUCUGGUUUAAAUACAAUAUAAAUAAAAAUAUUUACUUAUUCUUAUUUAUAUUGUAGGUUAUUGAACAAUAUACUGCAGCACGGAAUUUUCUUUAUUAAUGCUCUUUAUUACAUAUAUAUUGUUCAACCUACAACACAAAUGAAAAAAUCAUAAUAUAAACAGCAAAAAAAAUGUAAUUAUUAUUAUUUUAAAAGAUAUGUAAAUUUGUAUUUCAAUUAAUCUAUAUGAAAAAAAUUUUGGAAUUUAAAGCGUGGCAAUUGUGUUUAAAUGAUUAUAGAGGCCAAAUGACUCCUUAAAUGGUCAUCUAGGCAUUUUUAUGAUUACAGGUGGUAGUCUGAAAGAGCAAGCUCAAGAGUAUUGUUUGGAUGCUCAGGAAUUUUAUUUCUUCCAUUAUAAAAAGCUUUUGCUUCUGAAUGUAAAGAAAUAUUCAAAUAAUAACAUGAUCUUCCUAUUUGCCAAUGUAAAGGACUGCCUCUUCAAAGUAGUCAAUUGCAGUUCAUGUAGGGCUGGCAUUUGAGAGAGGUUUACCUGUAGAGAGAUAAACUGGAACUUGAGUGCCAACUACUUCCAGUGAAACUGCACAGGUAACCUAGAUUGGAUUGAAAUUUGAUUCUUUCUACAUGCACACUUGUCUACUUCGGAGUGUGUGUGGGUGGGGGAGGCUCAAUAAGUAGAUGAGUUCCUAUUUCUUUGCAACAAUCAAAUGUUUACACCAUGUUUUACAAUGUUUCUUUUGUUUUUAAUUAAUAGCAAAAAAUAAACAGAUUUCUUCCUA
Molecule: long non-coding RNA, 1032 nt
Organism: Cimex lectularius (bed bug)
Lineage: Eukaryota; Metazoa; Arthropoda; Insecta; Hemiptera; Cimicidae
Exons: 2
Source: RefSeq, a predicted model, not a curated record